GGAGCUUGCUCUUUCCGGAUGAGUUGCGAACGGGUGAGUAACGCGUAGGUAACCUGCCUGGUAGCGGGGGAUAACUAUUGGAAACGAUAGCUAAUACCGCAUAACAGUAGAUAUUGCAUGAUAUCUGCUUGAAAGGUGCAAAUGCAUCACUACCAGAUGGACCUGCGUUGUAUUAGCUAGUUGGUGAGGUAACGGCCCACCAAGGCGACGAUACAUAGCCGACCUGAGAGGGUGAUCGGCCACACUGGGACUGAGACACGGCCCAGACUCCUACGGGAGGCAGCAGUAGGGAAUCUUCGGCAAUGGGGGGAACCCUGACCGAGCAACGCCGCGUGAGUGAAGAAGGUUUUCGGAUCGUAAAGCUCUGUUGUAAGAGAAGAACGAGUGUGAGAGUGGAAAGUUCACACUGUGACGGUAUCUUACCAGAAAGGGACGGCUAACUACGUGCCAGCAGCCGCGGUAAUACGUAGGUCCCGAGCGUUAUCCGGAUUUAUUGGGCGUAA
RNAcentral lists this ribosomal RNA (503 nucleotides) under uncultured bacterium. Its description in RNAcentral is "bacterial SSU rRNA". It matches the Rfam family "Bacterial small subunit ribosomal RNA", at positions 75 to 563 of the family's 1533-position model. The record is from RNAcentral.